Molecule: ribosomal RNA, 534 nt
Filed under: uncultured bacterium
Lineage: Bacteria
Description: bacterial SSU rRNA
Rfam family: Bacterial small subunit ribosomal RNA
Source: RNAcentral
AAUAGAUACCCGAGGUAGUCCACGCCGUAAACGACUGAGUGCUAAGUCGUUAGAGGGUUUCCGCCCUUUAGGUGCUGCAGCUAACGCAUUAAGCACUCCGCCUGGGGAGUACGGUCGCAAGACUGAAACUCAAAGGAAUUGACGGGGGCCCGCACAAGCGGUGGAGCAUGUGGUUUAAUUCGAAGCAACGCGAAGAACCUUACCAGGUCUUGACAUCCCACUGACCGGUAUAGAGAUAUACCUUUCCCUUCGGGGACAGUGGUGACAGGUGGUGCAUGGUUGUCGUCAGCUCGUGUCGUGAGAUGUUGGGUUAAGUCCCGCAACGAGCGCAACCCUUGAUCUUAGUUGCCAGCAUUUAGUUGGGCACUCUAAGGUGACUGCCGGUGACAAACCGGAGGAAGGUGGGGAUGACGUCAAAUCAUCAUGCCCCUUAUGACCUGGGCUACACACGUGCUACAAUGGAUGGUACAAAGGGCUGCAAGACUGCGAAGUCAAGCCAAUCCCAUAAAACCAUUCUCAGUUCGGAUUGCAGGU